This 169-nucleotide microRNA precursor is filed under the name Eugenia uniflora (Surinam cherry). RNAcentral's name for it is "miR482c stem-loop (eun-MIR482c)". Its record names the gene eun-MIR482c. Lineage: Eukaryota; Viridiplantae; Streptophyta; Magnoliopsida; Myrtales; Myrtaceae. The record is from miRBase by way of RNAcentral.
GAGGGAAAGGGAGAUUCGAGCUACCGGAAGUUGUGGGAAUGGGCGGUUUGGGAUAAACCGGAGAUAACAAAGAUGUUGUUGAGAUCUCGGCUCGAUGAGUUCUUUCGAAUUAAGUUUUUUCCCAAGGCCGCCCAUUCCGACGAUUUCCGGCGGCUCCUCCCUUUCCCUU